CAGUUUAUUGAUCAUUCCCAGCUGCUGGGUGUGAUGUUUAAACGGCCUUUUUAAACACCCAGCAUCCUGGUGAAGCUUCAGCUGCAGGUUUACAGAAUAAAUUGCUCCAGGGUUGGAAGAGCAUACAGGCUUCCCGUUGUUCAUCUGGGAAUAGCAUACAGGCUUCCCCGUUGUUCAUCUGUUUACAUAGGCCACGGAUCACGGGCUGUUUCUUCCCAAGACCAGAAUGCUGGGCAUGACAAGAAGGAGGGACCCACAGGGGAGAGUGGGCCUAAGGAAUGGAGGAGCCUGGCCACCGUACCCCAGGUUAUCAGCCUCAAUGUGUACUCUAUUACCUUCAAGGGAAGGCGACGGCAUGAGUCUCGGAUGUGGUGCUCUCUAUGUGCUGAGUUUUCUGGCCUGAAUGGUGCUUCCAUCUUGGAGACAGUUGUGCUAAGGUCCCCGGGGGCCUACUAAAAUCUGAAGCUCUGUUACAAUUAUCCUCAUUCUCCGCAGUGCACAAAGACAGGUUUCACAAUUCUGUAGAAGUUGAACUGACUGGGCUGCACCCCUCAUUCCUGAUUACUUGGCUCAAAGCCUCCGCAGUCUCCCCCUGAAGAGCCUGAGAGCUACAAAACUCUUUCUCUAGGAGAGUGUCAGCACCACUGAGCGAGGAAGAGGCAAACAAUUAUUUUAAAAACUCAGGGCCAGGCUAGAGAGUUGGCUCAGAGGUUAAGAGCACUGGCUGCUCUUUCAGAGGUCCUGAAUUCAAUCCCCAGCAACCAUACAGUGACUCACAAUCAUCUAUAGUGGGAUCUGAUGCCCUCUUCAGGCAAAGUAUUCACACCUAAACAAGGAAAUCCUCGGGGCUACAAUGCUGCUCUUCUCUAUGAGAAACCUGAGGGAGGAUUUUGGAAUUUUGCACUGCCUGACAGGGCAGAAUAACCAUACAUGGGCAGUUUCUUGUGUAACUGUACAGCACGUGGAGUGGGUAGAAAGUCACAUAACUGUCAAGGUGACAUUAGCCCAUGCACCUGCUCUGAGCUUUGAGUGUGGUACCCGAACACCACAGACAAAGACAGAGGGACACAGACUCCUGAGUCGACCCUAUCUUGUGUCUCCCGAGAGCUUGAGAAGUUUGGUUUUGAUGUUCCUGAAAAUGAUAUGAUAUCAGUGACGUGUGGGACCUCCCCCUUCACUCUGAGGCUUUUAAAGGGGGAUUACACAACACAGAGCCACGGAAGGUGACUCAUCAGUCUGGACUGAAGUCCAGUAUUGAGGAAUACUCACUGAGGGCUUCCUAUGCACUAGGAACUUGGUGUAAGCCGAAAUAAACUCUUUUGUCUCCUAA
Molecule: non-coding RNA, 1330 nt
Organism: Myodes glareolus (Bank vole)
Lineage: Eukaryota; Metazoa; Chordata; Mammalia; Rodentia; Cricetidae
Source: RefSeq, a predicted model, not a curated record